AAAUGAAUAGACGGGACCCCGCACAAGCGGUGGAUCAUGUUGUUUAAUUCGAAGAUACGCGAAGAACCUUACCAGGUCUUGACAUCCCUCGCAAAGCUAUAGAGAUAUAGUGGAGGUUAUCGGGGUGACAGGUGGUGCAUGGUUGUCGUCAGCUCGUGUCGUGAGAUGUUGGGUUAAGUCCCGCAACGAGCGCAACCCUUAUUGCUAGUUACCAUCAUUAAGUUGGGGACUCUAGCGAGACUGCCAGUGACAAACUGGAGGAAGGUGGGGAUGACGUCAAAUCAUCAUGCCCCUUAUGACCUGGGCUACAAACGUGAUACAAUGGAUGAAACAAAGGGCAGCAAGCUGGUGACAGUAAGCGAAACUCAUAAAAGCAUUCUCAGUUCGGAUUGAAGUCUGCAACUCGACUUCAUGAAGCCGGAAUCGCUAGUAAUCGCGAAUCAGAAUGUCGCGGUGAAUACGUUCUCGGGGUUUGUACACACCGCCCGU
Molecule: ribosomal RNA, 489 nt
Filed under: uncultured bacterium
Lineage: Bacteria
Description: bacterial SSU rRNA
Rfam family: Bacterial small subunit ribosomal RNA
Source: RNAcentral